AGAGGAAGUAAAAGUCGUAACAAGGUUUCCGUAGGUGAACCUGCGGAAGGAUCAUUAUUGAAGUAAACCUGAUAAGUUGCUGCUGGUUCUUUUGGGAGCAUGUGCACACUUGUCAUCUUUAUAUCUUCACCUGUGCACCUUUUGUAGACCUGAGUAUCUCUCUGGAUGCUUUUUAGCACUCAGGAUUUGAGGAUUGACUUUUUUUUGUCUCUUCUUCACAUUUUCAGGUCUAUGUUUCUUCAUAUACCCUAUGUAUGUUAAUAGAAUGUCAUUAAUGGGCCUUUGUGCCUAUACAAAUUACAACUUUCAGCAACGGAUCUCUUGGCUCUCGCAUCGAUGAAGAACGCAGCGAAAUGCGAUAAGUAAUGUGAAUUGCAGAAUUCAGUGAAUCAUCGAAUCUUUGAACGCACCUUGCGCUCCUUGGUAUUCCGAGGAGCAUGCCUGUUUGAGUGUCAUUAAUAUAUCAACCUUCUUUGGUUGGAUGUGGGUUUGCUGGCCUCUUGAGGUCAGCUUUCCUCAAAUGCAUUAGCGGACAACAUUUUGCCAACCGUUCAUUGGUGUGAUAAUUAUCUACGCUAUUGACGUGAAGCAAGGUUCAGCUUCUAAAUGUCCAUUGACUUGGACAAAUUWAUUUUAUUAAUGUGACCUCAAAUCAGGUAGGACUACCCGCUGAACUUAAGCAUAUCAAUAA
Molecule: ribosomal RNA, 691 nt
Filed under: Calonarius aureofulvus
Lineage: Eukaryota; Fungi; Basidiomycota; Agaricomycetes; Agaricales; Cortinariaceae
Description: eukaryotic LSU rRNA
Rfam family: 5.8S ribosomal RNA (bases 302-455)
Source: RNAcentral